UUGGAUGGCAAAUGGAAGAAACGUCUGAA
This 29-nucleotide non-coding RNA is filed under the name Mus musculus (house mouse). Lineage: Eukaryota; Metazoa; Chordata; Mammalia; Rodentia; Muridae. The record is from RNAcentral. RNAcentral also lists the same sequence under 1 other name.